Long non-coding RNA from Pimephales promelas (fathead minnow), 557 nucleotides. RefSeq lists it as uncharacterized. NCBI's taxonomy places the organism in Eukaryota, Metazoa, Chordata, Actinopteri, Cypriniformes, Leuciscidae. The record is from RefSeq and is a predicted model, not a curated record.
AGAGGGCGAGCAGAAUGCGGAAACUGGUGUGCGAUUGUGUGGCUGCGAUAUUAAAAUUGAAACUGGAUCAUACAGUAGCGCUUUGUAAUGUAUAGAGACGAUGAUAUUUUUCUCCUGAUACAUCAACUGAAAAGGGAUUUACGUUAUUUGUUGUUUUUGUUUAUUAAUUUAGACGCCUUAGCAUAGCAAUAAUGGAUUAUUUUUCAAAAAUAAAAUGUUGUUAGAAACCUAUAACGUUACGCGUAUGGAAACCAUUGAGAACCAACGAGGUGGAUAAUGCUUUAUAUAGAACCUACGUUGUGACGGAUAGUCACCAAAAUACGGUCAUGAUCAUCAGAGUUCCAGCAGCAUCUGACAUGGGAUGAGUGGAGAUUGGAAAUAAGUUUGAAAUGGAAAAAGAGAGACAUUAAACAACAGAUAUGCUUGUACAUCUCUAAUGCAAAUAGAACAUGUAAGGGUUUUGAAUGUGUCAUGCAUGUUCAUAAAAUAUUUUCACCUGUAAAAAUGAUCAAUAAUUUUAUUGAUAUUAAUUAAGAUUAAGGAAGAAUAUGCAGAGU